AUAAUCAUUUGGCCUUUAAAUGAGGUCUAGUAUGAAAGGAUUUACGAAUAACAGCUGUCUCUUUUAGUUUAAUACUAAUUUACUUAAGUAGUGAAAAUUCUACUUUUUAAAAAAUUAGACGAGAAGACCCUUAGAAUUCCACGAAAAAUAAAUUUAAUAUUUGUACUCGGUUUGUUGGGGCAACAGAAUUAGCAAAAACAGAAUCCAUUUAUCUUAAUUAUUUUAUGCGCCGACAUUAUUGUAUGAAUAGAAGAAUUACCUUAGGGAUAACAGCAUAAUUUAAAAAAGAUUGU
RNAcentral lists this ribosomal RNA (293 nucleotides) under Granaria frumentum illyrica. RNAcentral's name for it is "partial 16S ribosomal RNA". The record is from RNAcentral. Lineage: Eukaryota; Metazoa; Mollusca; Gastropoda; Stylommatophora; Chondrinidae.